AUUUUUCUUCACAGACAAAAAGAAAAACUCCACACCCUCCCACUUAGUUGCUUCUGCCAGUUGCCUCAGGAAGUCUGUGGCUGGCUGAAUGUAGAUCAGGUUGACUGCAUAAAAACUAGCUCCUGAGUGUCCACAAAAGCUCCUGCUGACUUCAUCUGAAAUUCUGAAGGUGUAAGAAUGCAAUUUACCACACAGUAUUUAAAAUAAAUUUCUCAAAG
RNAcentral lists this long non-coding RNA (218 nucleotides) under Cyanistes caeruleus (blue tit). Its description in RNAcentral is "lncRNA (ENSCCEG00000020779.1)". The record is from RNAcentral. Lineage: Eukaryota; Metazoa; Chordata; Aves; Passeriformes; Paridae.